This 796-nucleotide ribosomal RNA is filed under the name uncultured archaeon. Its description in RNAcentral is "bacterial SSU rRNA". It matches the Rfam family "Archaeal small subunit ribosomal RNA", at positions 85 to 879 of the family's 1478-position model. The record is from RNAcentral.
ACGGCUCAGUAACACGUGGAUAACCUGCCCUUGGGUCCGGCAUAACCCCGGGAAACUGGGGAUAAUUCCGGAUAACGCAUAUAUGCUGGAAUGCUUUAUGCGUCAAAUGGAUUCGUCUGCCCAAGGAUGGGUCUGCGGCCUAUCAGGUAGUAGUGGGUGUAAUGUACCUACUAGCCGACGACGGGUACGGGUUGUGAGAGCAAGAGCCCGGAGAUGGAUUCUGAGACAUGAAUCCAGGCCCUACGGGGCGCAGCAGGCGCGAAAACUUUACAAUGCGGGAAACCGUGAUAAGGGGACACCGAGUGCCAGCAUCAUAUGCUGGCUGUCCGGGUGUGUAAAAUACACCUGUUAGCAAGGGCCGGGCAAGACCGGUGCCAGCCGCCGCGGUAACACCGGCGGCCCGAGUGGUGAUCGUGAUUAUUGGGUCUAAAGGGUCCGUAGCCGGUUUGGUCAGUCCUCCGGGAAAUCUGACGGCUUAACCGUUAGGCUUUCGGAGGAUACUGCCAGGCUUGGAACCGGGAGAGGUAAGAGGUACUACAGGGGUAGGAGUGAAAUCUUGUAAUCCCUGUGGGACCACCUGUGGCGAAGGCGUCUUACCAGAACGGGUUCGACGGUGAGGGACGAAAGCUGGGGGCACGAACCGGAUUAGAUACCCGGGUAGUCCCAGCCGUAAACGAUGCUCGCUAGGUGUCAGGCAUGGCGCGACCGUGUCUGGUGCCGCAGGGAAGCCGUGAAGCGAGCCACCUGGGAGGUACGGCCGCAAGGCUGAAACUUAAAGGAAUUGGCGGGGGAGCAC